ACGUAGGUGGCGAGCGUUAUCCGGAAUCAUUGGGCGUAAAGAGGGAGCAGGCGGCAGCAGAGGUCUGCGGUGAAAGCCCGAAGCUAAACUUCGGUAAGCCGUGGAAACCAUGCAGCUAGAGUGCAGUAGAGGAUCGUGGAAUUCCAUGUGUAGCGGUGAAAUGCGUAGAUAUAUGGAGGAACACCAGUGGCGAAGGCGACGAUCUGGGCUGUAACUGACGCUCAGUCCCGAAAGCGUGGGGAGCAAAUAGG
RNAcentral lists this ribosomal RNA (251 nucleotides) under uncultured bacterium. Its description in RNAcentral is "partial 16S ribosomal RNA". It matches the Rfam family "Bacterial small subunit ribosomal RNA", at positions 525 to 776 of the family's 1533-position model. The record is from RNAcentral.